AAACCGCUGGAAGGGAAGCGAAUGGAGUCGACAAUUCACCUGAUCAGAUUCAGUCACUCGCAUUCCACAACGCGCUCGCACUUCGCGAUCUUUCCAGACGCAGCUUGUGCGACGUGGGACGGGCGUGGUGCACUUCUGUCACGUGAGCGUCAACGUCAGUUCACUGCGAGUCAAACGGCCCCGAGGACGGUAGGUCCCCCUUUCGGGGGAUCGGUAAGCCUCUUGUGCACACGACUCCACGUGGACUGUGUCCUGUCGCAGCGCGCGCCUCCCUUUCCAGGGCAGGCUGCAGUCUCGUCGCUCUACCGUUCACUGUGCUAGACGGACGGCGACGCCUGUGCGUCACAAGCGCGCACGGUCGAGUGGCGAGCGACACCGACACGACGCGCUGAGUACGUUGGCCGCCAAGCGACUCCAUCCGACCCGUCUUGAAACACGGACCAAGGAGUCUAACAUGUGCGCGAGUCACAGGGUGACGGAAACCCAUGGGCGUAAUGAAAGUAAAUGCGCCUUGUGCGCAGAGGUGCGAAGUUCGYUGCUGCAGCUGCAUCACCGACCGACCUGUUCUACUCUUAGGAAGGUUUGAGUUAGAGCGCACCUGUUGGGACCCGAAAGAUGGUGAACUAUGCCUGAGUAGGGCGAAGCCAGCGGAAACACUGG
This 660-nucleotide ribosomal RNA is filed under the name Lepidisis sp. AMQ-2016. Its description in RNAcentral is "eukaryotic LSU rRNA". It matches the Rfam family "Eukaryotic large subunit ribosomal RNA", at positions 402 to 867 of the family's 3401-position model. The record is from RNAcentral. Lineage: Eukaryota; Metazoa; Cnidaria; Anthozoa; Scleralcyonacea; Keratoisididae.